This 496-nucleotide ribosomal RNA is filed under the name uncultured bacterium. RNAcentral describes it as "partial 16S ribosomal RNA". It matches the Rfam family "Bacterial small subunit ribosomal RNA", at positions 29 to 507 of the family's 1533-position model. The record is from RNAcentral.
AUGAACGCUGGCGGCGUGCCUAAUCCAUGCAAGUCGAGCGAACGGACGAGAAGCUUGCUUCUCUGAUGUUAGCGGCGGACGGGUGAGUAACACGUGGAUAACCUACCUAUAAGACUGGGAUAACUUCGGGAAACCGGAGCUAAUACCGGAUAAUAUUAUGAACCGCAUGGUUCAAAAGUGAAAGACGGUCUUGCUGUCACUUAUAGAUGGAUCCGCGCUGCAUUAGCUAGUUGGUAAGGUAACGGCUUACCAAGGCAACGAUGCAUAGCCGACCUGAGAGGGUGAUCGGCCACACUGGAACUGAGACACGGUCCAGACUCCUACGGGAGGCAGCAGUAGGGAAUCUUCCGCAAUGGGCGAAAGCCUGACGGAGCAACGCCGCGUGAGUGAUGAAGGUCUUCGGAUCGUAAAACUCUGUUAUUAGGGAAGAACAUAUGUGUAAGUAACUGUGCACAUCUUGACGGUACCUAAUCAGAAAGCCACGGCUAACUACGUG